RNAcentral lists this unclassified non-coding RNA (226 nucleotides) under uncultured fungus. RNAcentral describes it as "sequence contains ITS1, 5.8S rRNA gene". The stretch from base 178 to 226 matches the Rfam family "5.8S ribosomal RNA", at positions 1 to 49 of the family's 154-position model. The record is from RNAcentral. Lineage: Eukaryota; Fungi.
UCUCCGUAGGUGAACCUGCGGAGGGAUCAUUACCGAGUGAGGGUUCCGGCCCGACCUCCAACCCUUUGUGAACACAACUUGUUGCUUCGGGGGCGACCCUGCCGUUUCGACGGCGAGCGCCCCCGGAGGCUCAUCAAACACUGCAUCUCUGCGUCGGAGUUAAAGUAAAUUAAACAAAACUUUCAACAACGGAUCUCUUGGUUCCAGCAUCGAUGAAGAACGCAGC